GACGAACGCUGGCGGCGUGCCUAAUACAUGCAAGUUGAGCGCUGAAGGUUGGUACUUGUACCAACUGGAUGAGCAGCGAACGGGUGAGUAACGCGUGGGGAAUCUGCCUUUGAGCGGGGGACAACAUUUGGAAACGAAUGCUAAUACCGCAUAAAAACUUUAAACACAAGUUUUAAGUUUGAAAGAUGCAAUUGCAUCACUCAAAGAUGAUCCCGCGUUGUAUUAGCUAGUUGGUGAGGUAAAGGCUCACCAAGGCGAUGAUACAUAGCCGACCUGAGAGGGGGAGCGGCCACAGUGGGACUGAGACACGGCCCAAACUCCUACGGGAGGCAGCAGUAGGGAAUCUUCGGCAAUGGACGAAAGUCUGACCGAGCAACGCCGCGUGAGUGAAGAAGGUUUUCGGAUCGUAAAACUCUGUUGGUAGAGAAGAACGUUGGUGAGAGUGGAAAGCUCAUCAAGUGACGGUAACUACCCAGAAAGGGACGGCUAACUACGUG
This 497-nucleotide ribosomal RNA is filed under the name uncultured bacterium. RNAcentral describes it as "partial 16S ribosomal RNA". It matches the Rfam family "Bacterial small subunit ribosomal RNA", at positions 28 to 507 of the family's 1533-position model. The record is from RNAcentral.